RNAcentral lists this transfer RNA (86 nucleotides) under Parcubacteria group bacterium ADurb.Bin305. RNAcentral describes it as "tRNA-Tyr". It matches the Rfam family "tRNA". From Rfam's summary of the family: Transfer RNA (tRNA) molecules are approximately 80 nucleotides in length. Their secondary structure includes four short double-helical elements and three loops (D, anti-codon, and T loops). The record is from RNAcentral.
GGGUAGGUAGUCCCGUAGGGAGCGGGGACGGUCUGUAAAACCGCUGGCCUUGUUGCCCCUGUGGGUUCGACUCCCACCCUACCCAC